Molecule: transfer RNA, 71 nt
Filed under: Stegodyphus mimosarum
Lineage: Eukaryota; Metazoa; Arthropoda; Arachnida; Araneae; Eresidae
Rfam family: tRNA
About the family: Transfer RNA (tRNA) molecules are approximately 80 nucleotides in length. Their secondary structure includes four short double-helical elements and three loops (D, anti-codon, and T loops). Further hydrogen bonds mediate the characteristic L-shaped molecular structure. tRNAs have two regions of fundamental functional importance: the anti-codon, which is responsible for specific mRNA codon recognition, and the 3' end, to which the tRNAs corresponding amino acid is attached (by aminoacyl-tRNA synthetases). tRNAs cope with the degeneracy of the genetic code in two manners: having more than one tRNA (with a specific anti-codon) for a particular amino acid; and 'wobble' base-pairing, i.e. permitting non-standard base-pairing at the 3rd anti-codon position.
Source: Rfam by way of RNAcentral
GCUUUCGUGGUGUAACGGUAGCACACUCGGCGCCUAUUCGAGAAGUCCAGGUUCGAGUCCCACCGAGGGCA